Long non-coding RNA from Gasterosteus aculeatus aculeatus (three-spined stickleback), 477 nucleotides. NCBI's taxonomy places the organism in Eukaryota, Metazoa, Chordata, Actinopteri, Perciformes, Gasterosteidae. The record is from Ensembl.
ACCAAGGCCAUCAGACACAACAACUUAUUUAAAAAUUAAUUCCAAGGAUGUCGCAAGAGGAGCCCAGAGGAUUUUAUGCACCUGUUUUUUGUUCCAGUGUCAAGCUAUUUCAAAAAUAAAACCCCACUAUGACGCAGUGAGGGUUACAGAUGGCAACGUAGAGGUACAGAGAAUUUGUGGCGUGGGCCCGGGCCACGGCGGAGGCUGUUAGGCUCCCCACAAAAGAAAAAAACAAAACAAAACCAAGAGGAAGCUACGGGAAAUACAGAAGAGGAGAACUAAGUGACGAAGGUGAAGUUGAGGCCAGGUAGAAGCUACGCGUGGGCAGACUUGGCUACAAGUUACAGCUAGCGGAUUGGACACAGGGUCUCGGAGCGCAGCAUCAGGAAACAAACAUGACAGAGAGGCAAGCUGGAGGCACAGAAAGAAAAGAAAAGAAAUACUGCUUUCAAGGGGGAAGCUUAGAAAAGGGGAGAC